GGAUUAGAUACCCCGGUAGUCCACGCCGUAAACGAUGAUAACUAGAUGUUGGGCAGCUUAGACUGUUCGGUAUCGAAGCUAACGCGAUAAGUUAUCCGCCUGGGGAGUACGGUCGCAAGAUUAAAACUCAAAGGAAUUGACGGGGGCCCGCACAAGCGGUGGAGCAUGUGGUUUAAUUCGAUGCAACGCGAAGAACCUUACCUACCCUUGACAUCCAGAGAAUCCUGCAGAGAUGCGGGAGUGCCGAAAGGAUUCUGAGACAGGUGCUGCAUGGCUGUCGUCAGCUCGUGUUGUGAGAUGUUGGGUUAAGUCCCG
RNAcentral lists this ribosomal RNA (315 nucleotides) under uncultured bacterium. Its description in RNAcentral is "bacterial SSU rRNA". It matches the Rfam family "Bacterial small subunit ribosomal RNA", at positions 775 to 1089 of the family's 1533-position model. The record is from RNAcentral.